UACGUGGGGGCAAGCGUUGUUCGGAAUUCCUGGGCGUUAAGGGCUCGUAGGCGGCCAACUAAGUCCGACGUGAAAUCCCUCGGCUUAACCGGGGAACUGCAUCCGAUACUGGAUGGCUUGAAUCCGGGAGAGGGAUGCAGAAUUCCAGGUGUAGCGGUGAAAUGCGUAGAUAUCUGGAGGAAUACCGGUGGCGAAGGCGGCAUCCUGGACCGGCAUUGACGCUGAUGAGCGAAAGCUAGGGGAGCAAACGGG
This 252-nucleotide ribosomal RNA is filed under the name uncultured bacterium. RNAcentral describes it as "partial 16S ribosomal RNA". It matches the Rfam family "Bacterial small subunit ribosomal RNA", at positions 524 to 776 of the family's 1533-position model. The record is from RNAcentral.